Molecule: ribosomal RNA, 253 nt
Filed under: uncultured bacterium
Lineage: Bacteria
Description: partial 16S ribosomal RNA
Rfam family: Bacterial small subunit ribosomal RNA
Source: RNAcentral
UACGUAGGGUGCAAGCGUUAAUCGGAAUUACUGGGCGUAAAGCGUGCGCAGGCGGCUUUGCAAGACAGAUGUGAAAUCCCCGGGCUUAACCUGGGAACUGCAUUUGUGACUGCAUGGCUAGAGUGCGGCAGAAGGGGAUGGAAUUCCGCGUGUAGCAGUGAAAUGCGUAGAUAUGCGGAGGAACACCGAUGGCGAAGGCAAUCCCCUGGGCCUGCACUGACGCUCAUGCACGAAAGCGUGGGGAGCAAACAGG